Molecule: long non-coding RNA, 1134 nt
Organism: Lytechinus variegatus (green sea urchin)
Lineage: Eukaryota; Metazoa; Echinodermata; Echinoidea; Temnopleuroida; Toxopneustidae
Exons: 5
Source: RefSeq, a predicted model, not a curated record
GUGAUGAGAACAGAAGAACCACAGGGAGCUGAAGCGUUAGCAAUAACCCUUGGUGUUAUCGGUGGGAUAGUAGGUGUUAUCCUGAUAGUAAUUGCUUCUUGGUUCAUCACUAAAAGAAGAUCCAGUUCCAAGCUUGAAAUAGCAGCCCUCCAAAAUCACAUGGAAAACCCAGCUUAUGACCCAGAUGGAAUAGGUGGAGAUAUUGUAUUAAGAGACAUGGAAAAGAAACCAGUAGAUAUCGAACCACGUUACCAGUCUUUCGCUCCAGUAGUGAAUCCAGAUGAAGGCUUUGAAAAUCCUAUGUAUGCAAGCAUGAUGUCACCGGAUCAAUCUAUCAUCUAAUUCAUCAAAAGAUACACACAUUUUUCUAAGGUUUACCAAUUUAACUCCUUAAAUUGGUAACGAUGAACAUUAUUUUUUACCCAGUUCUAUGAAAUAUAACGCAAGUCAGAAUGAAUAACAAUUACAAAAUUUCAAUUGGAAUUUUCAGCAAGUUUUUGUAUGAUGUUGUUAAUGAUAAGUUUCGAUCAAGCUGCAUUUAUUUACAACCCUGCAUUGUUCACAGACUUGAAAUUUCAUAAUUCCUUUUUCUUAAGAGUGCAUUUUUCUUUUUCAACCAUAUUUCAUAUUAGGUAAUGUAGUACCUAGUGAUCAGACAUCAUGAAAUACAUUUAUAUAUAACAGGAAAAUAUUGACCUUCAAGAGGCAUUCCAAGUGAUACAUUUGUUCUUUCAUUUUGUUCUCUUUUUGCUAAACAUGUUGACUGAAAAUAUAAGUAAGCAAAUCAAAUUGUAUAUGGCAUGAAUUGAAUGUUACUGAAGAGGAUGAAAGCUGUAAAGUUAAGAGAAAUAGAUAUAUGACAGGCAAAAUCUCACCCAACAAGGAGUUGACCAGGGUAAAAAAGGUCAAAAUAAUAAAAAAUAUUAUUUGAUGGAAAAUGAAAAUUUACGUCAUUUCAAGUUUUUGUUCUUUUUCGCAUGGCAAAGAUAUCUGUAUCAAAGGUAAUAUAUUAUACCCCUUUCAUAAACCCAAUUAUGCGGCUUAAAGCGGCAUAAUUUGGUCAUAAAAUCGGAGGAGGACCAGAGUUAUCCGCAUAAUAGCAGCAUCGGGACCAGAUUUUGACUUUAUGAACGC